CAGGACAAAUGCAGACAGGUCAGGUCAGGUCAGGUCAGGUCAGUGUGUUUAAUAUGCACAUUCAGAGCAAGCUGUUGUAGCAUAUGCCUGUCAUGGGCACAGGUGUCGACUUACACUGGCUGCUCCGUCCAGGGCAGGACAAAUGCAGACAGGUCAGGUCAGGUCAGGUCAGGUCAGUGUGUUUAAUAUGCACAUUCAGAGCAAACUGUUGUAGCAUAUGCCUGUCAUGGACACAGGUGUCCACUUACACUGGCUCCUCCGUCCAGGGCAGGACAAAUGCAGACAGGUCAGGUCAGGUCAGGUCAGGUCAGUGUGUUUAAUAUGCACAUUCAGAGCAAGCUGUUGUAGCAUAUGCCUGUCAUGGGCACAGGUGUCGACUUACACUGGCUCCUCCGUCCAGGGCAGGACAAAUGCAGACAGGUCAGGUCAGGUCAGGUCAGGUCAGUGUGUUUAAUAUGCACAUUCAGAGCAAGCUGUUGUAGCAUAUGCCUGUCAUGGACACAGGUGUCCACCUACACUGGCUCCUCCGUCCAGGGCAGGACAAAUGCAGACAGGUCAGUGUGUUUAAUAUGCACAUUCAGAGCAAGCUGUUGUAGCAUAUGCCUGUCAUGGACACAGGUGUCGACCUACACUGGCUCCUCCGUCCAGGGCAGGACAAAUGCAGACAGGUCAGGUCAGGUCAGGUCAGGUCAGUGUGUUUAAUAUGCACAUUCAGAGCAAGCUGUUGUAGCAUAUGCCUGUCAUGGGCACAGGUGUCGACUUACACUGGCUCCUCCGUCCAGGGCAGGACAAAUGCAGACAGGUCAGGUCAGGUCAG
This is a long non-coding RNA of Gigantopelta aegis, 817 nucleotides long. RefSeq lists it as uncharacterized. The transcript is spliced from 3 exons. Lineage: Eukaryota; Metazoa; Mollusca; Gastropoda; Neomphalida; Peltospiridae. The record is from RefSeq and is a predicted model, not a curated record.